UGGGGAGUCGCCAAGUGGUAAGGCACAUGGUUUUGGUCCAUGCAUUCGGGGGUUCGAUCCCCUCCUCCCCAGCCA
Molecule: transfer RNA, 75 nt
Filed under: Saccharimonas sp. (SeqCode)
Lineage: Bacteria; Candidatus Saccharimonadota; Candidatus Saccharimonadia; Saccharimonadales (SeqCode); Saccharimonadaceae (SeqCode)
Also listed under: 1 other name
Description: tRNA-Gln
Rfam family: tRNA
About the family: Transfer RNA (tRNA) molecules are approximately 80 nucleotides in length. Their secondary structure includes four short double-helical elements and three loops (D, anti-codon, and T loops). Further hydrogen bonds mediate the characteristic L-shaped molecular structure. tRNAs have two regions of fundamental functional importance: the anti-codon, which is responsible for specific mRNA codon recognition, and the 3' end, to which the tRNAs corresponding amino acid is attached (by aminoacyl-tRNA synthetases). tRNAs cope with the degeneracy of the genetic code in two manners: having more than one tRNA (with a specific anti-codon) for a particular amino acid; and 'wobble' base-pairing, i.e. permitting non-standard base-pairing at the 3rd anti-codon position.
Source: RNAcentral